GGCUGGUCCGAGUGCAGUGGUGUUUACAGUUAAUUGAUCACAGCCAGUUACAGAUUUCUUUGUUCCUUCUCCACUCCCACUGCUUCACUUGACCGGCCUAAA
This 102-nucleotide Y RNA is filed under the name Sorex araneus (European shrew). Its description in RNAcentral is "Y RNA (ENSSARG00000020032.1)". It matches the Rfam family "Y RNA". From Rfam's summary of the family: Y RNAs are components of the Ro ribonucleoprotein particle (Ro RNP), in association with Ro60 and La proteins. The Y RNAs and Ro60 and La proteins are well conserved, but the function of the Ro RNP is not known. Lineage: Eukaryota; Metazoa; Chordata; Mammalia; Eulipotyphla; Soricidae. The record is from RNAcentral.